Molecule: transfer RNA, 72 nt
Filed under: Danionella translucida
Lineage: Eukaryota; Metazoa; Chordata; Actinopteri; Cypriniformes; Danionidae
Also listed under: 1 other name
Rfam family: tRNA
About the family: Transfer RNA (tRNA) molecules are approximately 80 nucleotides in length. Their secondary structure includes four short double-helical elements and three loops (D, anti-codon, and T loops).
Source: Rfam by way of RNAcentral
GGGGGUGUAGCUCAGUGGUAGAGUGCAUGCUUUGCAUGCAUGAGGUCUUGGGUUCAAUCCUCAGCAUCUCCA